RNAcentral lists this ribosomal RNA (566 nucleotides) under uncultured organism. RNAcentral describes it as "bacterial SSU rRNA". It matches the Rfam family "Bacterial small subunit ribosomal RNA", at positions 838 to 1415 of the family's 1533-position model. The record is from RNAcentral.
CCUCUGUGCCGGAGCUUACGCGGUUAGUAUCCCGCCUGGGGACUUCGGUCGCAAGGCUCUUACUCUCAAGGACUUGACGGGGGCCCGCACAAGCAGCGGAGCGUGUGGUUUAAUUCGAUGCUACGCGAAGAACCUUACCAGGGCUUGACAUGCAAGUAGUAGUGAAGCGAAAGCGGAACGAUCCUUCGGGAAGCUUGCACAGGUGCUGCAUGGCUGUCGUCAGCUCGUGCCGUGAGGUGUUAGGUUAAGUCCUGUAACGAGCGCAACCCUUGCCGUUAGUUACAAGUGUCUAACGGGACUGCCCGGCUCAACUCCCCAGGAAGGUGGGGAUGACGUCAAGUCAGCAUGGCCUUUAUGUCCUGGGCUACACACACGCUACAAUGGCCGGUACAAUGGGUAGCCAAGCCGUGAGGCGGAGCCAAUCCUGUAAAGCCGGUCUCAGUUCGGAUUGCAGGCUGCAACUCGCCUGCAUGAAGUCGGAGUUGCUAGUAACCGCAGGUCAGCCACACUCCGGUGAUACGUUCCCGGGCAUUGUACACACCGCCCGUCACGUCAUGGGAGCUGGU